This 21-nucleotide small nuclear RNA is filed under the name Arabidopsis thaliana (thale cress). RNAcentral describes it as "snRNA_14947". The record is from RNAcentral. Lineage: Eukaryota; Viridiplantae; Streptophyta; Magnoliopsida; Brassicales; Brassicaceae.
AAGUGGGAGCUUCGGCGCAAG